GCCAUCUAUAUUAUCCUCCCAGGUACUCCCAUGUAGUCAUCGCUUUUUAGUUGCAAGGCAUGGGUAAAACAAUUUGUUUAUUCCUUCACCCGGUGAAAGGCACUGUGUUCUUUCCUUCUGAGAGUAUGAUGAAUAAUGCUCUCAGAGUACUUAUAAUUUUUUGCAGACAUACACAUUCAUUUCUCAAGGGGAAUUGGUUAUGUGGGGGUGUGUUGAUUAAUUCAAAAACAAAAUGAAAUUUUGUAAGUGCAUCUUAUCUGCUGUUUAAUUUCAGUAUGGUCGGACAACAUCCUCUGAAGUUUUUCAAUCCUUUGAAUUUGUUCAGAUGUGUUGGUGUCCAUGUAAACAUGCCUCACACACACUUAAAAAUAAAGUCUGUUCUGCAGUGGCCGAGGACGAUGUUCAUAAACGUAAUUGGAUCAAAGUUGAGGUGUGGAUAAUGGAGAGGCCCAUCCUGCAUGUACUUUGGAAUGUCAUAGACCAUUAUGGCCAUAAGGAAAGUGCUCAGACAAAACCUAAGACAAUUCAACUUAAGCCCAAGAUGUCUGAGUGGUUAUAAACUUCCAAAAGAUUGCCAAAGGAGUAGAAAAAAAUUUCAGCAUUCUUAAUUUGAAACCCUUUUAUUUGAUGAGCCAAAGAAAGAAUGAUCUUACAUUAUUCUG
Molecule: long non-coding RNA, 662 nt
Organism: Chinchilla lanigera (long-tailed chinchilla)
Lineage: Eukaryota; Metazoa; Chordata; Mammalia; Rodentia; Chinchillidae
Exons: 3
Source: RefSeq, a predicted model, not a curated record